Molecule: ribosomal RNA, 2886 nt
Filed under: Aeromonas veronii
Lineage: Bacteria; Pseudomonadati; Pseudomonadota; Gammaproteobacteria; Aeromonadales; Aeromonadaceae
Description: 23S ribosomal RNA
Rfam family: Bacterial large subunit ribosomal RNA
Source: RNAcentral
UUAAGUGACUAAGCGUACAUGGUGGAUGCCUUGGCAGUCAGAGGCGAUGAAGGACGUACUAACCUGCGAUAAGCUGUGAGAAGUCGGUAAGAGACGCUAUUACUCACAGAUUUCCGAAUGGGGAAACCCACCCAAGAUAACUUGGGUAUCUGUUACUGAAUACAUAGGUAACAGAGGCGAACCGGGAGAACUGAAACAUCUAAGUACCCCGAGGAAAAGAAAUCAACCGAGAUUCCCUCAGUAGCGGCGAGCGAACGGGGAUUAGCCCUUAAGCAUCUUGGAAGUUAGUGGAACGGUCCUGGAAAGGCCGGCGAUACAGGGUGAUAGCCCCGUACACGAAAACAACCUUGAUGUGAAAUCGAGUAGGGCGGGACACGUGAUAUCCUGUCUGAAUAUGGGGGGACCAUCCUCCAAGGCUAAAUACUCCUGACUGACCGAUAGUGAACCAGUACCGUGAGGGAAAGGCGAAAAGAACCCCUGUGAGGGGAGUGAAAUAGAACCUGAAACCGUGUACGUACAAGCAGUGGGAGCCCUUCGGGGUGACUGCGUACCUUUUGUAUAAUGGGUCAGCGACUUACAUUUUGUAGCGAGGUUAACCGUAUAGGGGAGCCGUAGGGAAACCGAGUCUUAACUGGGCGUCUAGUUGCAAGGUGUAGACCCGAAACCGGGUGAUCUAGCCAUGGGCAGGUUGAAGGUUGAGUAACAUCAACUGGAGGACCGAACCCACUAACGUUGCAAAGUUAGGGGAUGACCUGUGGCUGGGGGUGAAAGGCCAAUCAAACUCGGAGAUAGCUGGUUCUCCCCGAAAGCUAUUUAGGUAGCGCCUCGGACGAAUACUACUGGGGGUAGAGCACUGUUUGGGCUAGGGGGUCAUCCCGACUUACCAACCCCAUGCAAACUCCGAAUACCAGUAAGUAAUAUCCGGGAGACACACGGCGGGUGCUAACGUCCGUCGUGAAGAGGGAAACAACCCAGACCGCCGGCUAAGGUCCCAAAGUUCUGGUUAAGUGGGAAACGAUGUGGGAAGGCUCAGACAGCUAGGAUGUUGGCUUAGAAGCAGCCAUCAUUUAAAGAAAGCGUAAUAGCUCACUAGUCGAGUCGGCCUGCGCGGAAGAUGUAACGGGGCUCAAACCAGGCACCGAAGCCGCGGAUUCACACUUAUGUGUGAGUGGUAGGGGAGCGUUCUGUAAGUCUGCGAAGGUGUAUCGAGAGGUAUGCUGGAGAUAUCAGAAGUGCGAAUGCUGACGUAAGUAACGAUAAAGGGGGUGAAAAGCCUCCUCGCCGGAAGACCAAGGGUUCCUGUCCAACGUUAAUCGGGGCAGGGUGAGUCGACCCCUAAGGCGAGGCCGAAAGGCGUAGUCGAUGGGAAGCAGGUUAAUAUUCCUGCACGACUUGUAAUUGCGAUGGGGGGACGGAGAAGGCUAGGUGGGCCAGGCGACGGUUGUCCUGGUGAAAGUGCGUAGGUGGUGUUUGUAGGCAAAUCCGCAGACACAACGCUGAGACACGAGACGAACACACUACGGUGUGGAAGCCAUUGAUGCCCUGCUUCCAGGAAAAGCCUCUAAGCUUCAGAUUACAAGUCAUCGUACCCCAAACCGACACAGGUGGUCGGGUAGAGAAUACCAAGGCGCUUGAGAGAACUCGGGUGAAGGAACUAGGCAAAAUAGAACCGUAACUUCGGGAGAAGGUUCGCUCUGAUGGUGAAGUCCCUUGCGGAUGGAGCUGUCGGGAGUCGCAGUGACCAGAUGGCUGGGACUGUUUAUCAAAAACACAGCACUCUGCAAACACGAAAGUGGACGUAUAGGGUGUGACACCUGCCCGGUGCCGGAAGGUUAAUUGAUGGGGUUAGCGCAAGCGAAGCUCUUGAUCGAAGCCCCGGUAAACGGCGGCCGUAACUAUAACGGUCCUAAGGUAGCGAAAUUCCUUGUCGGGUAAGUUCCGACCUGCACGAAUGGUGUAACCAUGGCCAUGCUGUCUCCACCCGAGACUCAGUGAAAUCGAAUUCGCCGUGAAGAUGCGGUGUACCCGCGGCUAGACGGAAAGACCCCGUGAACCUUUACUACAGCUUGGCACUGAACAUUGAACCUACAUGUGUAGGAUAGGUGGGAGGCUUUGAAGGCGUGACGCCAGUUGCGCUGGAGCCGUCCUUGAAAUACCACCCUUGUAUGUUUGAUGUUCUAACGCAGGGCCCUGAAUCGGGCUCGCGGACAGUGCCUGGUGGGUAGUUUGACUGGGGCGGUCUCCUCCCAAAGAGUAACGGAGGAGCACGAAGGUUGGCUAAUCCUGGUCGGACAUCAGGAGGUUAGUGCAAUGGCAUAAGCCAGCUUAACUGCGAGACGGACAGGUCGAGCAGGUACGAAAGUAGGUCAUAGUGAUCCGGUGGUUCUGAAUGGAAGGGCCAUCGCUCAACGGAUAAAAGGUACUCCGGGGAUAACAGGCUGAUACCGCCCAAGAGUUCAUAUCGACGGCGGUGUUUGGCACCUCGAUGUCGGCUCAUCACAUCCUGGGGCUGAAGUCGGUCCCAAGGGUAUGGCUGUUCGCCAUUUAAAGUGGUACGCGAGCUGGGUUCAGAACGUCGUGAGACAGUUCGGUCCCUAUCUGCCGUGGGCGUUGGAUGAUUGAAGGGAGUUGCUCCUAGUACGAGAGGACCGGAGUGAACGAACCUCUGGUGUUCGGGUUGUCACGCCAGUGGCACUGCCCGGUAGCUAAGUUCGGAAUCGAUAACCGCUGAAAGCAUCUAAGCGGGAAGCGAGCCCUGAGAUGAGUCAUCCCUGACCCCUUGAGGGUCCUAAAGGGCCGUUGGAGACCACAACGUUGAUAGGUGGGGUGUGUAAGCGCGGCGACGUGUUGAGCUAACCCAUACUAAUUACCCGUGAGGCUUAACCA